UACGUAGGGUGCAAGCGUUAAUCGGAAUUACUGGGCGUAAAGCGCGCGCAGGCGGUCAGAGGCGUCGGUGCUCAAAGUCCACCGCUUAACGGUGGGAGGCGUGCCGAUACGCUCUGACUGGAGGGCGGGCGAGGGUGGUGGAAUUGCCGGUGUAGUGGUGAAAUGCGUAGAGAUCGGCAGGAACACCAGUGGCGAAGGCGGCCACCUAGCCCGCACCUGACGCUGAGGCGCGACAGCGUGGGGAGCGAACUGG
This 253-nucleotide ribosomal RNA is filed under the name uncultured bacterium. Its description in RNAcentral is "partial 16S ribosomal RNA". It matches the Rfam family "Bacterial small subunit ribosomal RNA", at positions 524 to 776 of the family's 1533-position model. The record is from RNAcentral.